CACGUAGGGCGCAAGCGUUGUCCGGAAUUAUUGGGCGUAAAGAGCUCGUAGGCGGUCUGUUACGUCCGCUGUGAAAACCCGGGGCUUAACCCCUGGCUUGCAGUGGAUACGGACAGACUAGAGGUAGGUAGGGGAGAAUGGAAUUCCCGGUGUAGCGGUGAAAUGCGCAGAUAUCAGGAGGAACACCGAUGGCGAAGGCAGCCUCCUGGGAUGACACUGACGCUCAUACACGAAAGCGUGGGGAGCAAACAGG
Molecule: ribosomal RNA, 253 nt
Filed under: uncultured bacterium
Lineage: Bacteria
Description: partial 16S ribosomal RNA
Rfam family: Bacterial small subunit ribosomal RNA
Source: RNAcentral